This 841-nucleotide ribosomal RNA is filed under the name Staphylococcus hominis. RNAcentral's name for it is "bacterial SSU rRNA". It matches the Rfam family "Bacterial small subunit ribosomal RNA", at positions 57 to 879 of the family's 1533-position model. The record is from RNAcentral. Lineage: Bacteria; Bacillati; Bacillota; Bacilli; Caryophanales; Staphylococcaceae.
GCAAGUCGAGCGAACAGACGAGGAGCUUGCUCCUUUGACGUUAGCGGCGGACGGGUGAGUAACACGUAGGUAACCUACCUAUAAGACUGGGAUAACUUCGGGAAACCGGAGCUAAUACCGGAUGAUAUUUCGAACCGCAUGGUUCGAUAGUGAAAGAUGGCUCUGCUAUCACUUAUAGAUGGACCUGCGCCGUAUUAGCUAGUUGGUAAGGUAACGGCUUACCAAGGCAACGAUACGUAGCCGACCUGAGAGGGUGAUCGGCCACACUGGAACUGAGACACGGUCCAGACUCCUACGGGAGGCAGCAGUAGGGAAUCUUCCGCAAUGGGCGAAAGCCUGACGGAGCAACGCCGCGUGAGUGAUGAAGGUCUUCGGAUCGUAAAACUCUGUUAUUAGGGAAGAACAUACGUGUAAGUAACUGUGCACGUCUUGACGGUACCUAAUCAGAAAGCCACGGCUAACUACGUGCCAGCAGCCGCGGUAAUACGUAGGUGGCAAGCGUUAUCCGGAAUUAUUGGGCGUAAAGCGCGCGUAGGCGGUUUUUUAAGUCUGAUGUGAAAGCCCACGGCUCAACCGUGGAGGGUCAUUGGAAACUGGAAAACUUGAGUGCAGAAGAGGAAAGUGGAAUUCCAUGUGUAGCGGUGAAAUGCGCAGAGAUAUGGAGGAACACCAGUGGCGAAGGCGACUUUCUGGUCUGUAACUGACGCUGAUGUGCGAAAGCGUGGGGAUCAAACAGGAUUAGAUACCCUGGUAGUCCACGCCGUAAACGAUGAGUGCUAAGUGUUAGGGGGUUUCCGCCCCUUAGUGCUGCAGCUAACGCAUUAAGCACUCCGCCUGGGGA